Benincasa hispida (wax gourd) is the source of this 1284-nucleotide non-coding RNA. The record is from RefSeq and is a predicted model, not a curated record. NCBI's taxonomy places the organism in Eukaryota, Viridiplantae, Streptophyta, Magnoliopsida, Cucurbitales, Cucurbitaceae.
AAAAUAAAAUAAACACCCCCCUCCUUCAAAAUUUUUCCUCCCUGCCGUCAAGCCCUAAGCAGCCUCUACCGGUCCGUCUGUCGAUUUUUCUCCGCGCCUUGCAAGAUCAGCGAAGUUGACCGUUUGCCGUCCGAUCGAACCCAACACGCACGAGUUGCCACCCUUGAUCCGCGAGCAGUGCGUGCCGCCAGCCACCCCAGCCAUCGAUCUGCGCUCCAGCUGCUUCACACGUCUGCCACUCCAACCGCGCCGCUUUAGCCGGCGCCUUACGUUUUCUUCAGCUGCAGACCUGCGCGAUCGAAAACCUAGCCACCGUCUGCGUUUCCCCAUGUCGACGUCGCUAUUCCGACCGACUUCUUUUCAAAUCUAGUGGUGCCCAUCAGUUUUUGCCAAUAGGCCACUCCCGCAUGGGUUUUCGCUGGAAUCUUGGAUUUGGAUUUGAGUCGAGGAAACUAUUGAAGUGGCUGUCCAGCGGGUUCGAGUUUGUUUCCAACAAGAAAUUUGGUUUGAGGUCACUAUCCAUCAAAAUUAGAGGUUUUUUUUCUUUGUGGAUUUAACUGGAGAUUUUGGAGCUUGUCUGGAAGUGAUCGUUGAUCAAGCCACACUUUGGGUAAAUCAUUUUUGGGGUUGAUGUUAUGAAUUAAUGGGUGGAAUUGGGCCUUAGUGUGAAUUAAAUGUUGGGUUUAUGUUGUAAGUUUAAUUUGUAUUUCAUUAUUGAGUAGUUGCUUGGAGGGAAAUAUUUGGACUUGCGAUUUGAGGUAAGUAAUCUUACUACUGGAACUGCCCACGGGCCAAGUACUAGAUAUAUGCUAGCAUGAUAGAUGGAUAUUAUGAUAGAACGAUAGCAUGAUAGACGGAUAGUAUAGUAUGACCUAUAUAUAUUCUUAUAUGAGGAUCUGAAAAAUUUAUUUGUGCACGUAGAUACUUGCAUGCUAAUAUGAGAUGAUACUUGAUUCAAUGAGGUUGUAUUGGAUAUGAGGCUAUUCAGGCAUAUAUCCACGUUGUAGAGCCAUGAUGUUGAGGUGUAUAUGUAUGUUAUAGAACCAUGUUAUGAUACUUGUGAUGUUGAGAUUGUGAUAGUGUCUUUACUAAUUAGUUAGAUACCUACUAGAUGUUGUGUUUCCUUCGGGAUUAACCAGAGAUUAUGUUUCCUUUGGAAUUCACUAGAGGUUGUGUUUCCUUCGGGAUUCACCAGGGGUUGUAUUUCCUUCGGGAUUCACCAGGGGUUGUGUUUCCUUCGGGAUUCACCACGGGUUGUGUUUCCUUCUGGAUUCACCAGAGGUU